RNAcentral lists this ribosomal RNA (463 nucleotides) under uncultured bacterium. RNAcentral's name for it is "bacterial SSU rRNA". It matches the Rfam family "Bacterial small subunit ribosomal RNA", at positions 523 to 979 of the family's 1533-position model. The record is from RNAcentral.
AUACAGAGACCUCAAGCGUUAUCCGGAUUUAUUGGGCGUAAAGGGUUCGUAGGUGGUUUUGUAAGUCAUUCGUUAAAUCUUCAGGCUCAACCUGGAGGCAGCGGGUGAUACUGCAAGACUAGAGGAUGGGAGAGGCAGACGGAAUUGUUGGUGUAGCGGUAAAAUGCGUUAAUAUCAACAAGAACACCAAAGGCGAAGGCAGUCUGCUGGAACAUUCCUGACACUGAGGAACGAAAGCGUGGGUAGCGAAUGGGAUUAGAUACCCCAGUAGUCCACGCCGUAAACGAUGAGUGCUAGGUUUCGGGAGUUUCGACCCUCUCGGAGCCGGUUAACCAAGCUAACGCGUUAAGCACUCCGCCUGGGUAGUACGAGCGCAAGCUUAAAACCUAAGGAAUAGACGGGACCUGCACAAGCGGUGGAGCGUGCGGUUUAAUUCGAUACUAAGCGAGGAACCUUACCUGGG